UACGUAGGGUGCGAGCGUUGUCCGGAAUUAUUGGGCGUAAAGGGCUCGUAGGCGGUUUGUCGCGUCGGGAGUGAAAUCCACUGGCUUAACUGGUGGCUUGCUUUCGAUACGGGCAGACUGGAGGUAUGCAGGGGAGGACGGAAUUCCUGGUGUAGCGGUGAAAUGCGCAGAUAUCAGGAGGAACACCGGUGGCGAAGGCGGUUCUCUGGGCAUUACCUGACGCUGAGGAGCGAAAGUGUGGGGAGCGAACAGG
RNAcentral lists this ribosomal RNA (253 nucleotides) under uncultured bacterium. RNAcentral's name for it is "partial 16S ribosomal RNA". It matches the Rfam family "Bacterial small subunit ribosomal RNA", at positions 524 to 776 of the family's 1533-position model. The record is from RNAcentral.